UUAUAAACAGGGCAAAUUUUAGCCCUUUUUCUGCAGACUGAAAAAAAAUGAAGAACAACCUUAAUCAAUUUUCAAACCUUACUGGGUUCUCAUCAGAGGCGUCCACAUCACUUUGACAAUCUCUGGAGAAACUAGCAGCCAAUUUGUUUAU
Octopus sinensis (East Asian common octopus) is the source of this 151-nucleotide long non-coding RNA. RefSeq lists it as uncharacterized. The transcript has 3 exons. NCBI's taxonomy places the organism in Eukaryota, Metazoa, Mollusca, Cephalopoda, Octopoda, Octopodidae. The record is from RefSeq and is a predicted model, not a curated record.